AUUGAACGCUGGCGGCAGGCCUAACACAUGCAAGUCGGGCGGAUGAAGGGAGCUUGCUCCUGGAUUCAGCGGCGGACGGGUGAGUAAUGCCUAGGAAUCUGCCUGGUAGUGGGGGAUAACGUCCGGAAACGGGCGCUAAUACCGCAUACGUCCUGAGGGAGAAAGUGGGGGAUCUUCGGACCCCACGCUAUCAGAUGAGCCUAGGUCGGAUUAGCUAGUUGGUGGGGUAAAGGCCUACCAAGGCGACGAUCCGUAACUGGUCUGAGAGGAUGAUCAGUCACACUGGAACUGAGACACGGUCCAGACUCCUACGGGAGGCAGCAGUGGGGAAUAUUGGACAAUGGGCGAAAGCCUGAUCCAGCCAUGCCGCGUGUGUGAAGAAGGUCUUCGGAUUGUAAAGCACUUUAAGUUGGGAGGAAGGGCAGUAAGUUAAUACCUUGCUGUUUUGACGUUACCAACAGAAUAAGCACCGGCUAACUUCGUG
RNAcentral lists this ribosomal RNA (484 nucleotides) under uncultured bacterium. RNAcentral describes it as "partial 16S ribosomal RNA". It matches the Rfam family "Bacterial small subunit ribosomal RNA", at positions 30 to 507 of the family's 1533-position model. The record is from RNAcentral.